Cyprinus carpio (common carp) is the source of this 1059-nucleotide long non-coding RNA. Lineage: Eukaryota; Metazoa; Chordata; Actinopteri; Cypriniformes; Cyprinidae. The record is from Ensembl.
AUGUUUGUCAUGAUUCAGACAGACCUGCAGAGAUUCAGUCUGAUGAUCAACAGAGAGACACUCACAGAUGAGAUGAUAAAGCAUCAAGCUUUUAUUACAGCAGAAAACAGCAGAAAGCCCUUAAAGCUUCUCUUUUCUAUCAGUUUCUGGAGAAACCGAGCAUAAUGUGCUCUAAGACUGACUGAGAGACAGGACUUUUAUUCUGAGAGGAGCGAGAAUGGACAUGAAUCACAAAACUGAUGGAAAAAGAUCCCCUCUUUAGCUCUGCUUGUGUUUUAUCUUCUUAUUCAGUCAUUAGCUCACAGAAGCGGUGGUAAUGCACAAGACUUUAGCUGCCGAGAAAUGAAGAUGACAAAGAAGAAGAAAAACCAAGAUGAAGGAGGAGGAAAUGAUGAAGAACAAUACAAACAUAGUUUGAGUUUUUUGGAUUUGUAUUUGACAGGAUCAAAUUACAUUCUUCUCAUCUACCAAAAAUAACUUUAUUUCCGUUUGGAUUAUAUUUUUGUAUUUGUUUUUUGGAACUGUAUAUACAAAUUUGCACAGUUUUGAAGAACUACUUUUUUCACUUUGGGAAAUGAGUCCGUCUGUGUAUUUUUGUUUGAUCGGUUCUUCCUAACAUUGUGUUUUCAGAUGCAUUAGAAGCGUCUUAAACCGAGCCACUGCUCUGAAAACACUGAUAAUUAUAUAUCAGUUUAUACAAUCUGAGUGUGUGUGAAUGUAUUUGAUAUUUCUAAAUAGUUGUACAUGUUUUUUUUUUUUUCAGAAUUUGAUUGUUUACAGUAAUCACUAAUGUAAUCACUGUUAUUACUGUAGCUAUGUACUGUAUGUUAAACUUGAGGUUAAAACAAAACACGAAGGCAGCUUUAACUUGUCGUUGUAACAUAUAUGCUUUAUCUGUCUGUUUUCUUUAUUUGACUCAGUUUCUAGUUUGUUUCUUUGAUUGUUGAAUUAAUUAUUCCAUAUUCUGUAAGUCAUUUCACAUUUUUACAGCAAAGCACAAUACACAUGUAUGUAAUACUCGAGAUCUGCAAGCCAUUACUCCAUGAACAACCUUCAUAU